RNAcentral lists this ribosomal RNA (432 nucleotides) under uncultured bacterium. RNAcentral's name for it is "partial 16S ribosomal RNA". It matches the Rfam family "Bacterial small subunit ribosomal RNA", at positions 29 to 507 of the family's 1533-position model. The record is from RNAcentral.
ACGCACGCUGGCGGCAGGCCUCACCCCUGCAAGUCGCACGAAGUCUUCGGACUUAGUGGCGCACGGGUGAGUAACACGUGGGAAUAUACCUUACGCUGGGGGAUAACAUCGGGAAACUGAUGCUAAUACCGCAUACGCCCUUCGGGGGAAAGAUUUAUCGGCGAAAGAUUAGCCCGCGUCCGAUUAGCUAGUUGGUGAGGUAAUGGCUCACCAAGGCUCCGAUCGGUAGCUGGUCUGAGAGGAUGACCAGCCGCACUGGGACUGAGACACGGCCCAGACUCCUACGGGAGGCAGCAGUGGGGAAUAUUGGACAAUGGGCGCAAGCCUGAUCCAGCCAUGCCGCGUGAGUGAUGAAGGCCUUAGGGUUGUAAAGCUCUUUCACCCACGACGAUGAUGACGGUAGUGGGAGAAGAAGCCCCGGCUAACUUCGUG